AUUAACGCUGGCAGAGUGCAUAACACAUGCAAGUCGAGCGAGGGUGGCGGAUUAUCGCGCCUUAGCGGCAGACGAGUGAGUAACACGUAAGCAACCUGCCCUUGAAUGGCGAACAACACCGCGAAAGCGGUGCUAAUACGCCGUAUAAUCCCCUGAGGGCAUCUUCGGGGGAUGAUAGGCCCGCAAGGGUCGUUCAAGGAGGGGCUUGCGUCCCAUCAGCUAGUUGGCGGUGUAACGGACCACCAAGGCUAUGACGGGUACCCGGCCUGAAAGGGCGGACGGGCACGAAGGCACUGAGACACGGGCCUUACUCCUACGGGAGGCAGCAGUGGGGAAUUUUGGACAAUGGGGGAAACCCUGAUCCAGCAACUCUGCGUGAGGGACGAAGUUCUUCGGAAUGUAAACCUCUUUUAUUGGGGACGAACGCCCGCAAGGGCUUGACGGUACCCAGUGAAUAAGCCACGGCUAACUAUGU
RNAcentral lists this ribosomal RNA (475 nucleotides) under uncultured bacterium. RNAcentral describes it as "bacterial SSU rRNA". It matches the Rfam family "Bacterial small subunit ribosomal RNA", at positions 29 to 506 of the family's 1533-position model. The record is from RNAcentral.